GGGGUAAAUUAAUAAGUUAAUAAAUAAUAAAAAAAAUUUUAAUAUUAAAAAGAAAAAUGGGGGUUUAAGUAUUUUUAAUAGAAAAAAUUAAUAUAUUUAUAGUUAAAUAUUACUGUAAAGGAAAUUAUAAAUAAAUGAAAUUAAUUAAAUAAAAAGUAAAUUUAAUUUAUUGUAUCUUGUGUAUCAGAGUUUAUUAAUUAAGAAAAAUUUAUAUAAAUAAAUCUCGAAUUUAAAAGAGUUAAUUAAUUAAAAAAUUUAAUGUUGAAUAAUUAUUUUACAUAAUUAAUUAGAAAUGAAAUGUUAAUCGUUUUUAAAUAUAUCUAGUUUUUUUAGAAAGAAAUUUAAUUUUAAAUUUAAAUAAUUUUAUUUUUAAUUUAAUUUAAUUAUAAAAAUUUAAAAUUUAAUAUUUUAGGGGAUAAGCUUUAAUUUAAAAUUUUAUAAUAAAAAAAAAAUUAAAAAAAAAAUAAAAAUUUUUAGAAUUUAUAUUGUUUAAAAAAUUUAAUUUAUUAUAAAAAAUUUUAAUUAAAAUAAAAUUUAAUUGUAAAAUUUAAUUUUUUAUAAAAAAAUAUUUUUUAAUAAAAAAAAAUUAGAAAUAAUGAUAAAAUUAGUAUAAUUUAAAAAUUUUAAAAUUAAAAUUGUUUAAAGUUAAAUAAAAGGAAUUCGGCAAAUUUUUAUAUUCACUUGUUUAUCAAAAACAUGUCUUUUAGAAAAUAAUUUAAAGUCUAAUCUGCCCACUGAUAUAAUUAUUAAAGGGCUGCAGUAUAUUGACUGUACAAAGGUAGCAUAAUCAUUAGUCUUUUAAUUGAAGACUUGUAUGAAAGAUUUGAUGAAAUAUAGACUGUCUCUUAUUUAUAAAUUAAAAAUUAAUUUUUUAGUUAAAAAGCUAAAAUAAAAUUAAAAGACGAGAAGACCCUAUAGAGUUUUAUAAUUUAUUAAUUUAAUUUAAAAUAUUAAAUUAAAUAUUUAAAAUUAUUAAUUUAUUUUAUUGGGGUGAUAAAAAAAUUUAAUAAACUUUUUUUAAAAAUAUACAUAAAUAAUUGAGUAAAUGAUCCAUUUUUAGUGAUUAAAAGAAAAAAUUACCUUAGGGAUAACAGCGUAAUAUUUUUUUUUAGUACGAAUAAGAAAAAAAGUUUGCGACCUCGAUGUUGGAUUAAGAUAAAAUUUAAAUGCAAAAGUUUAAAAUUUUGAUCUGUUCGAUCAUUAAAAUCUUACAUGAUCUGAGUUCAAACCGGUGUAAGCCAGGUUGGUUUCUAUCUUUAAUUUAUUAAAAUAUUUUAGUACGAAAGGAUCAAAUAUUUAAAAUAAUUUUAUUUAAUUGAAUUUUAAUAAUAAUA
This 1334-nucleotide ribosomal RNA is filed under the name Kallimoides rumia. RNAcentral's name for it is "16S ribosomal RNA". The record is from RNAcentral. Lineage: Eukaryota; Metazoa; Arthropoda; Insecta; Lepidoptera; Nymphalidae.